Triticum aestivum (bread wheat) is the source of this 1610-nucleotide long non-coding RNA. RefSeq lists it as uncharacterized. The record is from RefSeq and is a predicted model, not a curated record. NCBI's taxonomy places the organism in Eukaryota, Viridiplantae, Streptophyta, Magnoliopsida, Poales, Poaceae. The transcript is spliced from 2 exons.
UGAACACGUAGACGGGUGACUUUCAGUUGGUGAGAAAAAUGACACGCUAUGCCCGACGCUCUCUCGGCCGGCUCGAUCUUUUUUCCCAUCUCGCGUGGGCGCCGUCGCCGUCACCACGGGUUGCCCAUUUCAGUCUUUCAUCGUCGGGCGCCCAUGUUCCUGUCUCCUUCGCGUCUCCGCCCGCCUCUGCGCAGUACUCAUCCAUCGCCUGCUCAAGCCAAUGUUGACCUUGGUACCCGAUAAGGACAGCUGCCAAAGUCGUUCCAGCCGGCACAUGCGCAGGCGCGAUUUCCACAUUAUUAUCCCGCUUCCGCUCUAGCAAAAAGCAAGUUGUAUAAAACUAUACUUGGGCAUCUAUAACCGCGGUCAUCUAAUUUGAGCCACUAUGCGUCCGACCUGUCCGGGCACGCCGGCUGGGGUGACCCGGCAGACCAUAUUUCUCGCAUUUCACAGACACAUACUCAUAUGCCUUAGUUAAAUCCAUACAAGACCAUGCAGGCGACGUUUCUACGUAGAUCAACACGCGAACAUAGCAAUCUGGCAAAGAUGCAUCACGAGACGCAGCUACCUAGUACCAUGGCCUUGUACAGUUUGGUCGUUCCUCCAUGACCGCGUGCUCGAUCGAUCGAGAUGUAGCGGCGCUCGGCAAGAUGUUGACACCCCCUUUUAUCGCUGAGAAGUACGUAGGUCUUGAUAGCUCAUGGCUGGUAUUGCAGAAAAAUCAGUGUGCCUUCCCUGUGUUGUUUCUUCAGUUCAAUAUGCACUUGUGCCUUUUCAGCUCAAUGUCUGGACCAGCAACAUAGGCGCGCGAUGCCUGUUCUGCUUGUUGAGCAUGCACUUUCGUCUUUUCAGUUAAGAAAGUCUGAACCGCUGAAUGCCUAAAUCCCAAUCCCUAAUUCCUUCCGAGCUCCGACUGCUCCCAGCUCCGCUCCGAAGCUGCCGCGUGCACCUUGCCGGCAAGCUCCCCUACUUCCAGCGGCUGGCGCCCGAUGCGGCAUCUCCCUGACUCCCUCCUCGCACCCCCUGCACCUUUUGCUCCGCGUGACAGCGUCUGGCAACCUCUUACACACGCGGCAUCGGUGGAGCUGCUACGCGAGGCACAGAGGCACAAGAGAGAGGACCGGGAGAGCGUGCGUGGACUUCGUUCGGAGAGGUGGUCGCUUGGCGCUGCUCCUGCCCCACAGCUCAAGCAAGAAUUGAACAUGAAGAGGAACGGGACAGUCCCUUCUCCUGAAACAUAUUACAUGAGCCACAUGGCACUUGCGACACUCCCUCAAAGAUUGGUGGAUUGGUAUGUCCGAAGCUCCGCUUCCUAAUAGGAAGCCCAUGACAUCUUUAAUCAUGCUCAUCUCAUGGUCGAUUUGGAACGAGAGAAAUGCACGUGUUUUCAAUGACAAAGGGACACCGCCCACGAUCUUGUUAGACAACAUCAAGAAAGAGACAUCACUUUGGGUGGCCCGCGGGAGCUAAGAAGCCAGGGGUUUGCUCAUGUCGGGAGAGUAAUCCCUUUCUUGUAAUAAGGGGUGUAUAUGUAAGACAGCUAAAACUUUCCUUCUCUCUUAAUUAAUAUACGAGGCAAUUCUUUUGCCUCCAUUUCAAAAAUAAAUAAA